Molecule: ribosomal RNA, 442 nt
Filed under: uncultured bacterium
Lineage: Bacteria
Description: partial 16S ribosomal RNA
Rfam family: Bacterial small subunit ribosomal RNA
Source: RNAcentral
CCUACGGGAGGCUGCAGUGAGGAAUAUUGGUCAAUGGGCGCAAGCCUGACCCAGCAACGCCGCGUGAAGGAAGAAGGCUUUCGGGUUGUAAACCUCUUUUAAGAGGGAAGAGCAGAAGACGGUACCUCUUGACUAAGCCACGGCUAACUACGUGACAGCAGCCGAGGUAAUACGUAGGUGGCACGCGUUGUCCGGAUUUACUGGGUGUAAAGGGCGGGUAGGCGGGCUGAGAAGUCAGAUGUGAAAUCUCUUGGCUCAACCACGGAGCGGCCUUUGAAACUGUCGGUCUUGAGUAUAGGAGAGGCAGGCGGAAUUCCUGGUGUAGCGGUGAAAUGCGUAGAUAUUAGGAGGAACACCAGUGGCGAAGGCGGCCUGCUGGACGACAACUGACGGUGAGGCGCGAAAGCGUGGGGAGCAAACAGGAUUAGAUACCCGAGUAGUC